This 406-nucleotide long non-coding RNA is filed under the name Brassica napus (rape). RNAcentral's name for it is "long non-coding RNA (BNAP_LNC002940)". Lineage: Eukaryota; Viridiplantae; Streptophyta; Magnoliopsida; Brassicales; Brassicaceae. The record is from RNAcentral.
CUUCCAACCGGUACACAGAGCGCUUCCAAGCAAAAAAUCUAAACACGGACUCAAAGCAAAAGAGGUAAAAAAAACCACCGGCGGUACAAGGAAAAACCGGAAACUGAUGAUGCCGUCAUUCAACAAUUCGCACCAGAGAUUACCGUCUCUUUUGCAUUCCACCAUGACCAUAUACAUCCACCUAACAGUGACCCGUAUAGAGAAGAAAGAUCGGUACCGGACAACCUCCAGAGGAGACAGAACCAUAACCGGAGCUGGUUUUUUUUUAACGAAAACAACACUUUACAUGUUUCAAAGCAUUAUUAGAACAGAAGCCACUUUGGUAAAACCAGUUAUUAAAAAGGGAAGAAUUGAGCAAAUAAUACCCUUUCUCACUGCAUAGUUCGCGUGACAUAUUUGCAUACUC